GGAUUAGAUACCCUGGUAGUCCACGCCGUAAACGAUGUCUACUAGCCGUUGGGGAACUUGAUUCUUUGGUGGCGCAGUUAACGCGAUAAGUAGACCGCCUGGGGAGUACGGCCGCAAGGUUAAAACUCAAAUGAAUUGACGGGGGCCCGCACAAGCGGUGGAGCAUGUGGUUUAAUUCGAUGCAACGCGAAGAACCUUACCAGGCCUUGACAUCCUUGGAAUCCUGUAGAGAUACGGGAGUGCCUUCGGGAAUCAAGUGACAGGUGCUGCAUGGCUGUCGUCAGCUCGUGCCG
This 293-nucleotide ribosomal RNA is filed under the name uncultured bacterium. RNAcentral's name for it is "partial 16S ribosomal RNA". It matches the Rfam family "Bacterial small subunit ribosomal RNA", at positions 775 to 1067 of the family's 1533-position model. The record is from RNAcentral.